UAGUCCACGCCCUAAACGAUGUUCACUGGAUGUAUGGAUUUAUUUUGUGCAUCUGAGCGAAAGCAUUAAGUAAUCCACCUGGGAAGUACGGUCGCAAGAUUGAAACUCAAAGGAAUUGACGGGGGCCCGCACAAGCGGUGGAGCAUGUGGUUUAAUUCGAUGAUACGCGAGGAACCUUACCAGGGCUUAAAUGCAGAUUUGACAGGACUGGAAACAGUUUUUUCUCGGACAAUUUGCAAGGUGCUGCAUGGUUGUCGUCAGCUCGUGCUGUGAAGUGUCGGGUUAAGUCCCAUAACGAGCGCAACCCCUAUCUUUAGUUGCCAGCGAGUAAUGUCGGGGACUCUAGAGAAACUGCCCGUGCCAAACGGUGAGGAAGGUGGGGAUGACGUCAAAUCAUCACGGCCCUUACGUCCUGGGCUACGACACGUGCUACAAUGGCCGGUACAGAGGGCAGCUAACCCGCGAGGGUGUGCAAAUCUCAAAAGCCGGUACUCAGUUCGGA
RNAcentral lists this ribosomal RNA (502 nucleotides) under uncultured bacterium. RNAcentral describes it as "bacterial SSU rRNA". It matches the Rfam family "Bacterial small subunit ribosomal RNA", at positions 791 to 1297 of the family's 1533-position model. The record is from RNAcentral.